GUUGGAGUUAGGGUUAGUGUUGGAGCUAGGGUUAGGGUUGGGCUUGGAGCUAGGAUUUUUCUGAGUGCAAUGAACCAACUCCCGAGUCUCUAGGACGUUCCUAAAAAAAAUUGAUUUUUUCCCAUAGGAAUGCAUGGGUAAGGGUUAGGGUUAGGGUUGGAGCUAGGGUUAGGGUUAGGGUUAGGGUUGGAGUUAGGGUUAGUGUUGGAGCUAGGGUUAGGGUUGGGCUUGGAGCUAGGAUUUUUCUGAGUGCAAUGAACCAACUCCCGAGUCUCUAGGACGUUCCUAAAAAAAAUUGUUUUUUUUCCAUAGGAAUGCAUGGGUUAGGGUUAGGGUUAGGGUUGGAGCUAGGGUUAGGUGUGGGGUUGGAGUUAGGGUUAGUGUUGGAGUUAGGGUUAGUGUUGGAGCUAGGGUUAGUGUUGGAGCUAGGGUUAGGGUUGGGCUUGGAGCUAGGAUUUUUCUGAGUGCAAUGAACCAACUCCCGAGUCUCUAGGACGUUCCUAAAAAAAUUUGAUUUUUUCCCAUAGGAAUGCAUGGGUUAGGGUUAGGGUUGGAGCUAGGGUUGGAGCUAGGGUUAGGGUUGGAGUUCGGGUUAGUGUUGGAGCUAGGGUUAGGGUUGGGCUUGGAGCUAGGAUUUUUCUGAGUGCAAUGAACCAACUCCCGAGUCUCUAGGACGUUCCUAAAAAAAUUUGAUUUUUUCCCAUAGGAAUGCAUGGGUUAGGGUUAGGGUUAGGGUUGGAGCUAGGGUUAGGGUUAGGGUUAGGGUUGGAGUUAGGGUUAGUGUUGGAGCUAGGGUUAGGGUUGGGCUUGGAGCUAGGAUUUUUCUGAGUGCAAUGAACCAACUCCCGAGUCUCUAGGACGUUCCUAAAAAAAUUUGAUUUUUUCCCAUAGGAAUGCAUGGGUUAGGGUUAGGGUUAGGGUUGGAGCUAGGGUUAGGGUUAGGGUUAGGGUUGGAGUUAGGGUUAGUGUUGGAGCUAGGAUUAGGGUUGGGCUUGGAGCUAGGAUUUUUCUGAGUGCAAUGAACCAACUCCCGAGUCUCUAGGACGUUCCUAAAAAAAAUUGAUUUUUUUCCAUAGGAAUGCAUGGAAAAAAAAAAUUGAAAAAUUUUCUAAUUGCCAACCCAAUUUUUCACCUUCCAGAAUUGUGUUAGGAGCACGUUUCAGGGCAUGGGGAGUCUAUAGAACUUAAUUCUGG
Non-coding RNA from Xyrichtys novacula (pearly razorfish), 1194 nucleotides. The record is from the annotation of a GenBank genome assembly. NCBI's taxonomy places the organism in Eukaryota, Metazoa, Chordata, Actinopteri, Labriformes, Labridae.